GAAGUCGGUCAGGCAAUCGCUCUUCGUCUAGUACGAGGGGAGGAAAGUCCGGGCUCCAUAGGGCAGGGUGCCAGGUAACUCCUGGGAGGCGAAAGUCUACGGAAAGUGCCACAGAAAAUAUACCGCCUUUUACCUUUGGGUAACAGGUAAGGGUGAAAUGGUGCGGUAAGAGCGCACCGCACGGCUGGCAACAGGCGUGGCAGGGAAAACCCCACCCGGAGCAAGACCAAAUAGGAAUCCAUUUUAUCUUAGGAUAAAGACGUAGGGCCCCUACGGGAUUCGGGUAGGUUGCUUGAGGCAUGUGGUGACGCAUGUCCCAGAUGAAUGAUUGUCCGCGACAGAACCCGGCUUAUCGACCGACUUCCUUU
Molecule: RNase P RNA, 368 nt
Filed under: Tatlockia sp.
Lineage: Bacteria; Pseudomonadati; Pseudomonadota; Gammaproteobacteria; Legionellales; Legionellaceae
Description: RNase P RNA component class A
Rfam family: Bacterial RNase P class A
About the family: Ribonuclease P (RNase P) is a ubiquitous endoribonuclease, found in archaea, bacteria and eukarya as well as chloroplasts and mitochondria. Its best characterised activity is the generation of mature 5'-ends of tRNAs by cleaving the 5'-leader elements of precursor-tRNAs.
Source: RNAcentral